This 1784-nucleotide long non-coding RNA is filed under the name Brassica napus (rape). RNAcentral describes it as "long non-coding RNA (BNAP_LNC017477)". The record is from RNAcentral. Lineage: Eukaryota; Viridiplantae; Streptophyta; Magnoliopsida; Brassicales; Brassicaceae.
AGAAAACGGUGAAAGGAUUUGCAAGGCCGCUUCUUGAUUUAAGUAAAAAAUCAUUUGCGAAAGUUAUGGAUGAUGCAUUCGGACGAAAAUUUGUGCCACCAUUUGAUCCUUAUGCCAAUUCUUACAAUUACCUCAUUGCUUCAUAUUUGGUCCCUUAUGUUGGUCUCACCGGCUACGUUGGCGCAAACCCGAAACUGCAUUGUCCCGCGUCAAGGAAGGUAACAAAACUAAACUACUCUCUUCUAGCGGUAAAUAUAAUCUCAUCUUCAAACCAGAAAUUUUGGGUUUCUAUGUAAAUUUUUUUUUAUUGCGAAAAGAUGAAAUUUCAGUUUCUAACAUCAUGCAUUACGUUUCAUCACAUCAAUAUAGAUAGUUUUGAAUUUCAUUAAUUUGUGUAGGUAAUAACGCUGGUAAAGUCUUUUUCACAAAGCAUAAAGCUCGUAAAAUUUCAUUGAUGUCUAAAGUCUCAUGAAAUGAUUUUUUUUUUUAUAAUAUUUUAUAUAUUCAAAAUCUUCAAUUGGAAAGAAAUGAGCACCAUGGUUACAAGUAGUGAUGAGUUUUUUAUUUUAUCAAUUAUUUUCAGAUGAAAAUUUUGAAAACUUUCGCAUUAUAUAUAUAUAUAUAUAUAUAUAUAUAUAUUAUAUGUUAAUUACUCAAACAUUGUACAGUUAGUAGCCGGACUUUUGGGAGUAGAAUCAGGCCAGGACGCGGUGAUAAGAACAAUGUUAUAUGCAAGGGCUAAACACAUAGUCCAUCCUUAUGGUGUCUCGGUUGCAGCUUUCACGGAUAGGAUAUCUGAUCUAAGGAACAAAUUGGGAAAAAGGGGUGUGAAAGACGAGGGGUUGGUUGUGCAUAAAGCCAUGGGUGCUGAGGAAAAUGUGGCUGGGAAUGUAUUAGUUGGGGAUAAGAUGUCGCUUGCGUUUGAUCGCACUCCGGAGGAAAUUCUACGGAUUGUGUAUGGAACUGGAAAUGAGAGUAUCCCCGGUGGAUUUUACCCUAAAGGAGCCGAUGGAGAAAUUGCUAAAUCUUAUUUAGAUUAAUAAUUGUGUUGUUGGAAAUGAGGUUUAGCUUUAGCUGGAGUUUAAUUUCCCACUGUUGUUGUGAUCAUGUGUGAUUCUUGUCAAUCAAUAUUUAACUAAUUAUAGGUGUUAGGCAGGUAAAAUGUUUUUUUUUCUUCUAAUAAUAUAUAUAAGUAAAAAUUAAAAAUAUCACAGGGCCAUCAAGAAAACGGUGAAAGGAUUUGCAAGGCCGCUUCUUGAUUUAAGUAAAAAAUCAUUUGCGAAAGUUAUGGAUGAUGCAUUCGGACGAAAAUUUGUGCCACCAUUUGAUCCUUAUGCCAAUUCUUACAAUUACCUCAUUGCUUCAUAUUUGGUCCCUUAUGUUGGUCUCACCGGCUACGUUGGCGCAAACCCGAAACUGCAUUGUCCCGCGUCAAGGAAGGUAACAAAACUAAACUACUCUCUUCUAGCGGUAAAUAUAAUCUCAUCUUCAAACCAGAAAUUUUGGGUUUCUAUGUAAAUUUUUUUUUAUUGCGAAAAGAUGAAAUUUCAGUUUCUAACAUCAUGCAUUACGUUUCAUCACAUCAAUAUAGAUAGUUUUGAAUUUCAUUAAUUUGUGUAGGUAAUAACGCUGGUAAAGUCUUUUUCACAAAGCAUAAAGCUCGUAAAAUUUCAUUGAUGUCUAAAGUCUCAUGAAAUGAUUUUUUUUUAUAUAAUAUUUUAUAUAUUCAAAAUCUUCAAUUGGAAAGAAGUGAGUGAUGUAAACACCAUGGUUACAAGUAGUGA